RNAcentral lists this long non-coding RNA (3978 nucleotides) under Homo sapiens (human). Its description in RNAcentral is "HSALNT0368889". The record is from RNAcentral. Lineage: Eukaryota; Metazoa; Chordata; Mammalia; Primates; Hominidae.
CGGGGGCGGCGGGGGAGCCCAGCGCGCCGCGGGGCCCGCUCGGCGUCGCCCUGCAUGGCUGGGGUCCCUCGCGGGGCUGGCGCGGCCUCCGGGAAGUUCCCGCCAGGGAGCCGGCCCCCUCCUUUCCUGGGUUGGAUGCAGAGACUCCCUGGGACCCAGAUGCCUUCCCUCCCUUCUCUUUCAAAGAAUUUUGGGUAUCGCUGCAAAGUCAAGGGAGCCGAGGCCUGGGAAAGACAGAUAACCAGCGUGAAAGCAUCUUCUGUUCGUCCGCGAUGCCACCCUCACUGGGUUCGCAAUGUAUGAUGUCUUCUGGUCCUUGCAAAAUCACCCCAGAACAUCAUUUUAGUAUUGAGACAUUUUUAGAACUUUGAGAUACUUAUCCUUUGGUGUUUUCAAUGCAUCCCUAAGCCCCUAACUUAAUUACAAGUGAAAUGCUAAAGUAAACUACGGUUUGCAAUGAACGCGGCUCCUAAUUUUCUUAAUUAAAUCUUAUUUACCCAAUUUCGUUGAAUGAAGGUUUAUGCUAAAGGGUGGCUUUUUAUUUUAAUCUAAAAAAAUUGGCUUCAGAACUGUAUUUUAUGCAGACAUUGGAAAGUUGAGCAACUGCCUGCUGGAAGUGUUGAGUGUAGCCAGAGAUAAUUCGGACAAAAAUCUUCGUUUUGUUAAGUACAGGCAUUUUUGGUUAGAUUUGAUAUUCCACAAUGUCAUGUUUAAUGUUUAUUGAAAAGAAUCAUGAUUAUGUCAAAAUAACUUAGCUUUAAUGGUCUGAAAUAGGAUUUUUCUUACCAGGACUAGCAGAAGGCCUAAGAGGAGAGUUUUCUUUGUUACUGAUGAACAGUAUGGUGACAGUCUUUGAAUUGUAGCAAUGGGCUUCUGGUUAUACAAAAAAUGUUUAUAUAUUUUAAGCUCUGUAAUUUUAAGUUAUGGCCCUUAAGAAAAAAAAAAAAGUCUGAUUUCUAGAAAACGAGAUUUCCAGUGUGCAUUUGAGGGAUUUUGAGGGAUAAGGUCACUUCCCCAUCAGAUCUUUUUGAGAUGGAUUUUGGCGUGGACAGUAUUUAUACCCGUUGAUUUCCUAGAGUUACUGACUUUGAGAAAGAAAAGUGUUUUUAGUCCAGUUUAAUGUUGGUGAAUGGGGCCAGGUGGGUGUGGUAAAUUAGUGAGGCAGAUUAUUCUCUCUCUUUCUGUUGAUAGCAUUGAAAUCCAGAUAUUCAUGCUUUACAUGGCUUGUCUCAUAUAACUUCUCCAAUUACUCUGUGAGUCAUUAUCAUCGCCAGUGUUUUUUUAACAGGUCAGGAAACUGGUACAAAUUGGUUAAGUAACUUGUUCAGGUUCACCAGCUGGAAAUGGAAGAGCCAGGAUCUGAACCAUGGUAGUCUGGAUCCAAGGCUUAUGUCCUUAACCCCAGCUACUCUACACUUCUCCCCUUACUGCUGUGUUCUUUCUGGCCACAUCUAACAGCCUCCCUAAAGUACAGACAUUUCUGGCAUCAAAGAACAAUUCAGUGAUCCAUUUCAAGCAUGCAGCCCUAUUUUCCUAGUGGUGAAAAUGAAUGAGGACCACCCAAAUGAGAACAAACAAAAGCUAUUUUUUUCAAAGCAAGGGAGCCAGCACCAUUGCUUGUGUUUGGCAGAGACUCAAAAGCAGACAGAGGAUGGAGGAGGGUGGGAGAAGAAGGCUUCAGCUGUGUCCUGAUUGGAGGCUGUUGAUAUGGGGAAGCUGUAGUUGAGCUACCUAAAAGGGGGUAUUUUGUGUGUUUGUUUAGGGGUACAUAAUUGGCUUUCUCUGGUUGGCCCUAAGUUGGAAGUAGGAGCAAAAAUUGAGGAAGUGGUCAGUAAUUAUUCAAGUCCUGGCCAUUUGAGACAGGUUGCUACAGGGGUUCUUGUUUGGCUGCCUGGGCUAGUUGCUACAGUUUAACCCAGUUACUGAUAGUUUAACUUGUUAGAUACUGUAGACGGUAGGUUGGUUUCUUGGACUGGUUGAUGUACAUUGCCUGCAGAGUUCUAUUUUUAUAUAUAAGCUGGCCAUUGUCCCUUUGUGUAUUCAUUCUCUCACAGGGAAAGGGUCUAAAAUGUUUACUCCAUGAUACUUCAGCUGUAAUUCAUUGUGCAGGUGGUCAUGCCUACUGACUGCCUGGACUACUGAGCUGGCCCUGACCAGGUGCUGCACAAGUUCUUGGCUCAGCAAGAAGGCAAGGCUAGCCCAGUUCAGGGUGUUGAGGCAACUGCCUGUGCUAAACAUGCCGAGUUUUCCUGUGGGCACAGCGAAGGGAGAAAGAGGGGAAGAGGUGCAGGUAGGGAAAACUUGACCUUCGAGAGGGGAAGGAGAGUGACAGAGGACUGAAUCAAAGAGGCAGUCCUUUGUAUGCUCAGGACAGCUGACAGCCCAAGCUUAAAUGUAGAAAACAACUGUAAUAUACUAAGUAAAGCUCUCUCGAGCCGAUCGUGAUUCUUGAUGACGGUGAGUGUCAGGUUAUGUUUACAAAGGCAGCUCAUAUAGCAGCCUAUAUGAUAUGACCAGUGUGUGCAGGAUAAGGUAAGCCAGUCAUUCACAAACACAAAUCACCUAUGCAGUCUUUUAAAUACACAGAUGCAGGUCCCACUCCUAGAGCUGCUGAUUCAGGAAGUCUGGGUUGAGGGUCCAGCUUCUUUCAUUUUUUGUCAAGCCCCAGGAGUGAGUCUGAGGCACAACCUGAUUGGAUCCCAUUCAGGAUACCACAUUACAUUUAUUUGUCGUAUCCUCUGGCUCUUCUUGGCUGUGAUGGUUUCUCAGACUUUCCUCGUUUUGAGGAGUAUUGGUUGGAACUUAUCCACUAUUUUGUAGACUGUUCCUCAACUGCGAUUUGUCUGAUGUUUUUCUCAUGAUCAGACUGAGGUUAUGGAUUUGGGGGAGGAAAACCAUAAAGUACUGACCUGUAUCCAGGGUCGGUACUAUUUACAGGAGUUAUCACUGCUUAUGUUAACCAUGGCUGAGAUGGCAUCUGUCAGAUAUCUGCCCUGUAAAAUUACUUCACUUCCCUCUCUUUCUGUUUCUUACUUUUUGGAAGGAAGUCACCAUAUGCAGUAGAGCCUGCUUUUUUUGUGUUGCUGUUGUUGUUUUGGAGACGGGAUCUCACUCUGUCAUCCAGGGUGAAGUGCAGUGGCACAAUCACAACUCACUGCAGCCUCGACCUCCCAGGCUCAAGUGAUCCUUCCCACCUCAGACUCCCAAAUAGCUGGGACUGCAGGCACAUGCCACCACACCUGGCGAAGUUUUUGUAUGGAUGGGGCCAGGCUGGUCUCAAACUCCUGGGCUCUAGCAAUCCUCCUGCUUCAGCCUCCCAAAGUGCUGGGAUUACAGAUGUGAGCCACCGCUCCCAGGUAAGCCUGGUUUUUUGACCACUGUGUUAUUUCUGUCACAAGUUAGUUAGACAAUGUUAUGUCUAGCUCUCACUUCUCUAAGCUAACACCCCACUGCUCUGUUCCUCUUUGUGGUAAUAUUCCUCAAAAGGGCUAUUUAUACUCCAGGUCCUCCAUUUUUCCUUGAACCCCUCCAGUCAGGGUUUCACCUCCCACCGCUCCAUUGAAAGUCCUGUCAUCUGAAGUCACUACAGCUAAAUCCAAUGGUUGGUUCAAAGUUUUGAUCUUAUUUGAUAUAGUUGAUCACUCCUUUCUCCUUUCUUCUUGAAGUGCUUUCUCCGCUCUAGAACGUUACAUGCCCCUGCCGGACGCGGUGGUUCACGCCGGUAAUCCCAGCACUUUGGGAGGCUGAGGCGGGUGGAUUGCUUGUGGUCAGGAGUCCGAGACCAGCCUGGACAACAUGGUGAAACCCCGUCUCUACUAAAAAUGCAAAAGAUUAGCCGGGCGUGGUGGCAGGUGCCUGUAAUCUCAGCUACUUGGGAGGCUGAGGCAGGAGAAUCCCUUGAACCUGGGAGGCCAAGGUUGCAGUGAGCCGGGAUCACACUACCGUACUCCAGACUGGGCGACAGAGCGAGACUCCUCU